CAGUAGCCACGGUAAUACAGAGGGUGCGAGCGUUAAUCGGAUUUACUGGGCGUAAAGCGUGCGUAGGCGGCUAAUUGAGUCGGAUGUGAAAUCCCCGAGCUUAACUUGGGAAUUGCAUUCGAUACUGGUUAGCUAGAGUGUGGGAGAGGAUGGUAGAAUUCCAGGUAUAGCGGUGAAAUGCGUAGAGAUCGGGAGGAACAUCAGUGGCGAAGGCGGCCAUCUGGGACAACACUGACGCUGAGGCACGAAAGCGUGGGGAGCAAACAGGAUUAGAUACCCCCGUAGUCCCUGUCUCUUAUAA
RNAcentral lists this ribosomal RNA (301 nucleotides) under uncultured bacterium. Its description in RNAcentral is "partial 16S ribosomal RNA". It matches the Rfam family "Bacterial small subunit ribosomal RNA", at positions 509 to 809 of the family's 1533-position model. The record is from RNAcentral.